UACGUAGGGUGCAAGCGUUGUCCGGAAUUAUUGGGCGUAAAGAGCUCGUAGGCGGUCUGUCACGUCGGAUGUGAAAGCCCGGGGCUUAACCCCGGGUCUGCAUUCGAUACGGGCAGGCUAGAGUGUGGUAGGGGAGAUCGGAAUUCCUGGUGUAGCGGUGAAAUGCGCAGAUAUCAGGAGGAACACCGGUGGCGAAGGCGGAUCUCUGGGCCAUUACUGACGCUGAGGAGCGAAAGCGUGGGGAGCGAACAGG
RNAcentral lists this ribosomal RNA (253 nucleotides) under uncultured bacterium. RNAcentral's name for it is "partial 16S ribosomal RNA". It matches the Rfam family "Bacterial small subunit ribosomal RNA", at positions 524 to 776 of the family's 1533-position model. The record is from RNAcentral.